GGCCACGGUCGUGACUGGCGAAGGUGGAGCAACCACCGGGGAGCGGCCGAGCACCACCCACUGACGUGCACCGCCCGCCUGGGUGCCUGGG
RNAcentral lists this non-coding RNA (91 nucleotides) under Cellulomonas flavigena. Its description in RNAcentral is "ZTP sequence". It matches the Rfam family "ZMP/ZTP riboswitch aptamer (pfl RNA motif)". From Rfam's summary of the family: Previously known as pfl RNA. ZMP is also known as AICAR. The record is from RNAcentral. RNAcentral also lists the same sequence under 1 other name. Lineage: Bacteria; Bacillati; Actinomycetota; Actinomycetes; Micrococcales; Cellulomonadaceae.